Oncorhynchus tshawytscha (Chinook salmon) is the source of this 483-nucleotide long non-coding RNA. RefSeq lists it as uncharacterized. The record is from RefSeq and is a predicted model, not a curated record. Lineage: Eukaryota; Metazoa; Chordata; Actinopteri; Salmoniformes; Salmonidae. The transcript is spliced from 3 exons.
GUUAAAGGAAGGGUAGGUUUUGGGUAUGAACGUCCCAGAGAUCAUUGAUAGUACUAACCACCCACUCACAAACACCAGGAAGUACCGGGAGAUAUGAACCACCACAGUACCAUUUAUAUUGCGAAGGGACCGAAUAACUAACAGCAGCACUUGCUCUCAUACCGCCGUCUGAGGAGAGAGUAUAUUGAUGCCGGUGAUAGAACGCGAGAAACUUACCGAAAGUUUUUUUUAAAUCUCUAUUUUUUUCUUCACAACCGUGUGUAUAAAACACGUGAGUGUUGGUGUAUUGGCCUGAUGUGACAGCGGAGCUCCGUUCAGUGAAUUAAAGACGUCACGCACACCGGCGACAGGGGCGAUGCGGUGGACCUAUAAGAAGAGCGUUACCAUGGGAGCAGUCUUCCUCCUCCUCUCCAUCCUUUACUUCAGUCUCCCUCUGGACCUCAGGAGCACCUGGGUGGAGGAGUGGCAGGUCCAGACCUUCUC